GUCUGUGAUGCCCUUAGAUGUUCUGGGCUGCACGCGCGCUACAAUGAUGCAUUCAACGAGCAUAGCUGCCUCGAAAGACGGCGGCGAAUCUUAUGAAACUGCAUCGUGACGGGGAUAGAUGAUUGUAAUUAUUCAUCUUCAACGAGGAAUUCCUAGUAAGUGCAAGUCAUCAACUUGCGCUGAUUACGUCCCUGCCCUUU
This 200-nucleotide ribosomal RNA is filed under the name uncultured organism. Its description in RNAcentral is "partial small subunit ribosomal RNA". It matches the Rfam family "Eukaryotic small subunit ribosomal RNA", at positions 1460 to 1661 of the family's 1831-position model. The record is from RNAcentral.